This 2956-nucleotide long non-coding RNA is filed under the name Canis lupus familiaris (dog). RNAcentral's name for it is "lncRNA (ENSCAFG00845001420.1)". The record is from RNAcentral. Lineage: Eukaryota; Metazoa; Chordata; Mammalia; Carnivora; Canidae.
UUUUAUUUACUAAUUAUACUGUUCAGAAAUUCCCACUGGAAGUGACAUAGUCCUUUUAGGACCUGUGAACAAAACCGUUAACAACUUUCUAUGCAGUCCAAAAUAAGCAGAAGAGAACACUUUUUUUUUUCUCAAGGUUUAACAUAGGGAGCCAGACAAGAUGCCUGUGCAAAAGGCUACCAGUGAGAUGGUAAGAUUUUUAAGAUUGGAUGUGAGUAAACAAAUGUAUUCAUUAAGAACUACGGGUUACUACUUUAUUAUAUCCUAUUGGAAUGUAACUCUAGGAGGGUAGGGAGUUUUGUUUUUCACUAAUAUAACCUCAGUGCCAGAACAGUACCUGGAGCAGAGCGGGCAUUUGAUACAUACCUUUUCUGAGUGUAUAAAUGAAUCCCAAAGCUAAAUAUGUAGUAAGUUGUCUUUUAUAAAUCUUAGUGGUUUGCUUUUUUUCAGAUGGUCAUAUAAGAAAAUUUUUUUUACAUUGAAAAUGUAAUAUUUAAAAAUACCUUUUCAAGCCAAGAUUAUUAUUCUCAUUUAAAAUACAUUUUUUUUAAAUUGUAGCUCAGCAUCUCCUUUUUCUACAAUAUCAUGUUAUUAAGUGUUCAUCAAAAUACCACAAGGUGGCAUACAAAACCUCAAAAAGACAUUUCUGAAAUUCUGUCAAAAUUUUACUACAUACUUAAUAGAAAAACCUCCCUAAAAUCCAGGCAAGAGACCCCCAGCCCUGGACCCUUUGCUUGAGGGCUAGGUUCUAUGCCACUCUAGCAUACAUCCCUACCUACAGGGUGAGAACACCACAGAGCCCAGGGGCAUGUCCCUCCACACCUGGAAAACCUCUUCCAAGGCCUUGCCUUUCUGCUCCAUCCCAGGAGGACAGAUGAAACUGAAGAGCACAUUCCAAAAGUCUGGACUGCUCAAGCAGCACCUCUGCAGGAGCUGGGGUGGGUUGUCCUUGGGAGAUGGCACUGGGACAAGGAGGGCUCUCGGAGUCCAUCUCUCCCUGCUUUGAACUCCUUAGUGCAGGGCUUGAGGAGUCCAAGAAUCCUGGGAACCUUAAGAAGGCAUGUUUGCCAAGGUAGGAACAGUUUGUUAGUGUGAUUUAUGACUUCUGAUGAUUUUGAUUAUUUAUGACCUCCAUUUUCAGUGACCGGGCCCUGCAAACAUUAGAAUCAGGGCUGUGGUAUAUAAUUUGUUGAUAUUUUUGUGUAUAUUUGCUUACUUACAAUCUGUACUUGGAAUCUCUGCAUUAGAAUUCUGAAAUUUCAGUAACAAAAUCAGUGGCUUAUUUGAAUGGCUUGUAUUGGCUAUUUAUCAGGGGGUAAAAACAACUUUCAUCAAAAUGGCCUACAAUGGAAUUUGUAAACAAAUGUUAAGUACAGCAGCUAUUGCAGCUUUCUACCACUACUUCAGUUUUCCUCCUUCCAGGAAAUAGAGUAGGACUGUACUUACCUAUCCCUUGGUGUCAGUUGUGGCUAUGCAGCUAGUUUUGUUGUUGUUGUUGUGUUAAAACUCUGGUUUAGAUUCUUCUUCUAAUAAUUUUGAGAUGCAACUCUCAGAUCAUAAAAUUCAUCCUUUUAAAAGUGUACAAUUCAGUAGAUUUUAGUAUUUUCAGUUAUGCAAGUAACACCAUUAACUUUACAACUUUUGUACCAUUGUCACAAAAAGCAACUGGUACCCGUUGGCAAAGUAUGACUAGGUUUGACCAUUGCAAUUUGAGUAUGAAGGUUGUGCGUCACGCUCAGCAAGUCUUUUCACAGCUAGUGGUAGGUUCCCCACAUUCUCCUCUUGCCAUGGUGGGUGGUGUAUUCCAUAAACGAGACUCUAUCAGCCUGCAUCUUGGAGGAUAAAAACAGAGCCAAGCUCUUAACAAACCAAGAACGUGGCUAAGAGUUUCACUGUGUUGAGUCACUAAGAUCUCGGGGUUCUCCGUAAACACAGCAUAGUAUGGCCCACGUGCACUGGAUUAAUGAUCUGAUCAGAAAUCAGAGAGAAUUUUUCAAAAGUGCUUAGAAAUUGUAAUUAGAAAAUGACUCACUACUCAUUACCGUCUUACAAUGAAAAAGAGGCUGAUUUUGAAUGAUUAUUGAAGGAAAGCCACUUCAUCUGAGCUAAGAAAAGGACACUUCGCCAAAUAUAUUUACCAUCGAGGAUCCAAUAUAACUCCAUCACGAAUUUUGGUCUGCUGAUGGGAAUGUGAUAGUUACCACUAUUUGAGACAACUAUGCUUUAAGGUUUCUUUUGGAAUCCUACCUGUAAUUUACUUGGUCUCUGGCAUAAGAUAAAACUCCAGAAUGAAUUUUUUUUCUUUCAAUCGUUUAUCUUUUAGCCUGUGUUAAACAUAAUUUAAUCUUUCUUAAGUGAGUAAUUGCAGUAUCUCAGGUCUCUAUUUUCAGUAUCCCAUCACUGUUCAGCAUGGUUGACAUAUAAAAUGAGAUAUUCUGUAGAUCUUAAGGUAUGUUCUAUUGUUUUUAAAAGAUAUUAUUUAUUCAUGAAACACACAGAGAGGCAGAGACAUUAGGCAGAUCAUAAAAUCCAUCCUUUUAAAGUGUACAAUAUAACGUGUAAAGCAGGCUCCCUGUGGGGAGCCCGAUGUGGGACUCGAUCCCAGGACUCCAGGAUCACAGCCUAAGCCAAGGUAGAUGCUCAACCACUGAGCCAUCCAGGUGCCCCUGCUCUAUUAAUAAUGCUACUAGCAUAGUUUAGGUUCCCAUUACUCAUCAUCAUUGCACAAUCAUAUCAACUAAUCCCCAUUCUUUUCUUCUCUUCCUCUAAUCUUUAUUAGCUGCCAGAUUAAAAAUCCUAAAACGUAGUUCUGCUCAUGACUUUUCCCUAUACAAAAACCUUCAGUAGAAGCUCUUGGCCGGCUCAGUGAAGCAUGUGACUCUUCAUCUUGGAGUAGUGAGGUCAAGCCCCAGGCUGGGGGAAGAGCUUACAUAAAAAAAAAAAAAAAAAAAAAAAA